GUAACGAGCGCAACCCUUCGUCCUUAGUUACCAGCACGUUAAGGUUGGGGCGACUCUAAGGAGACUGCCGGUGACAAACCGGAGGAAGGUGGGGAUGACGUCAAGUCAUCAUGGCCCUUACGGCCUGGGCUACACACGUGCUACAAUGGUCGGUACAAAGGGUUGCCAAGCCGCGAGGUGGAGCUAAUCCCAUAAAACCGAUCGUAGUCCGGAUCGCAGUCUGCAACUCGACUGCGUGAAGUCGGAAUCGCUAGUAAUCGUGAAUCAGAAUGUCACGGUGAAUACGUUCCCGGGCCUU
This 298-nucleotide ribosomal RNA is filed under the name uncultured Pseudomonas sp. Its description in RNAcentral is "partial 16S ribosomal RNA". It matches the Rfam family "Bacterial small subunit ribosomal RNA", at positions 1089 to 1382 of the family's 1533-position model. Lineage: Bacteria; Pseudomonadati; Pseudomonadota; Gammaproteobacteria; Pseudomonadales; Pseudomonadaceae. The record is from RNAcentral.